RNAcentral lists this microRNA precursor (144 nucleotides) under Chlorocebus sabaeus (green monkey). RNAcentral's name for it is "miRNA (ENSCSAG00000021210.1)". Lineage: Eukaryota; Metazoa; Chordata; Mammalia; Primates; Cercopithecidae. The record is from RNAcentral.
CAGGAUGCCCAGUUAAAUUUGAAUUUCAGAUAAACACCGAAUAGUUUUUAAUGGAAGUAUUUUCCAUGUAAUAUUUGGGACAUACUUAUUCUAAAAUAGUACUUGGUGUUUAUCUGAAAUUCAAAUUUAACAGGGUGUCCUAUA